RNAcentral lists this ribosomal RNA (662 nucleotides) under Tetramitus sp. LC-2013 strain CF3-107b. RNAcentral describes it as "bacterial SSU rRNA". It matches the Rfam family "Eukaryotic small subunit ribosomal RNA", at positions 619 to 1168 of the family's 1831-position model. Lineage: Eukaryota; Heterolobosea; Eutetramitea; Acrasida; Vahlkampfiidae. The record is from RNAcentral.
UUAAAACGCCCGUAGUAAACCAAAGGGUUAUAGUUAUUGAUCUGAUCAGUUCUGUUCAUCAUAGUCGGUCACGUAUUGUGGCUGAUUGGGUGAAUAAGGACAGGUCCUCGGUCUCUAACGGAAGCGAAAGGGUCCGCCCAAUUAGCAUCCGCCAUGGGAUAGGUCAAUGAUUAUGGCUCGUUCCCUAUCAGUCCGCAAGGUCUGAUAGGGCCAAUUGGCACAACCGUAAACAAAUCAGAGUGCUCCAAGCAGGCAAUGUACGGGGUAACCCAUUUGCUUGAAUGAUUUAGCAUGGAAUUGUCACGAAGCCGAUCGGAAACUUCAAGGGAUUUCCUGAGAAGUGGAAGAUCCGGCGUUCGCAAUGAGACACUGAUAGAGGAUCCAAGUACUAUGGCGCGAGAGGUGAAAUUCAGUGACCGCUAUAUGACUAUCUAAUGCGAAAGCAGUUGUGAUCCAGAGCGUGUCUGUCAAUCAGGGACGAAAGUUAAGGGAUCGAAGAUGAUUAGAUACCGUCGUAGUCUUAACCGUAAACGAUACCAACACGAGAUUGGUAGUGAGACUUUUAGAUCCUAUCAGAAUCCAAGGGAAACCGUUAAGUUUUUGGGUUCUGGGGGGAGUAUGGUCGCAAGGCUGAAACUUAAAGGAAUUGACGGAAAGGCACC